Molecule: ribosomal RNA, 1368 nt
Filed under: uncultured bacterium
Lineage: Bacteria
Description: bacterial SSU rRNA
Rfam family: Bacterial small subunit ribosomal RNA
Source: RNAcentral
AGAGUUUGAUCCUGGCUCAGGACGAACGCUGGCGGCGCGCCUAACACAUGCAAGUCGAACGAGCGAGAGAGAGCUUGCUUUCUCAAGCGAGUGGCGAACGGGUGAGUAACGCGUGAGGAACCUGCCUCAAAGAGGGGGACAACAGUUGGAAACGACUGCUAAUACCGCAUAAGCCCACAGCUCGGCAUCGAGCAGAGGGAAAAGGAGCGAUCCGCUUUGAGAUGGCCUCGCGUCCGAUUAGCUAGUUGGUGAGGUAAUGGCCCACCAAGGCGACGAUCGGUAGCCGGACUGAGAGGUUGAACGGCCACAUUGGGACUGAGACACGGCCCAGACUCCUACGGGAGGCAGCAGUGGGGAAUAUUGCACAAUGGGGGAAACCCUGAUGCAGCGACGCCGCGUGGAGGAAGAAGGUCUUCGGAUUGUAAACUCCUGUUGUUGAGGAAGAUAAUGACGGUACUCAACAAGGAAGUGACGGCUAACUACGUGCCAGCAGCCGCGGUAAAACGUAGGUCACAAGCGUUGUCCGGAAUUACUGGGUGUAAAGGGAGCGCAGGCGGGAAGACAAGUUGGAAGUGAAAUCUAUGGGCUCAACCCAUAAACUGCUUUCAAAACUGUCUUUCUUGAGUAGUGCAGAGGUAGGCGGAAUUCCCGGUGUAGCGGUGGAAUGCGUAGAUAUCGGGAGGAACACCAGUGGCGAAGGCGGCCUACUGGGCACCAACUGACGCUGAGGCUCGAAAGUGUGGGUAGCAAACAGGAUUAGAUACCCUGGUAGUCCACACCGUAAACGAUGAUUACUAGGUGUUGGAGGAUUGACCCCUUCAGUGCCGCAGUUAACACAAUAAGUAAUCCACCUGGGGAGUACGACCGCAAGGUUGAAACUCAAAGGAAUUGACGGGGGCCCGCACAAGCAGUGGAGUAUGUGGUUUAAUUCGACGCAACGCGAAGAACCUUACCAAGUCUUGACAUCCCUUGACGAACAUAGAAAUAUGUUUUCUCUUCGGAGCAAGGAGACAGGUGGUGCAUGGUUGUCGUCAGCUCGUGUCGUGAGAUGUUGGGUUAAGUCCCGCAACGAGCGCAACCCUUACUGUCAGUUACUACGCAAGAGGACUCUGGCAGGACUGCCGUUGACAAAACAGAGGAAGGUGGGGAUGACGUCAAAUCAUCAUGCCCUUUAUGACUUGGGCUACACACGUACUACAAUGGCGUUAAACAAAGAGAAGCAAGACCGCGAGGUGGAGCAAAACUCAGAAACAACGUCCCAGUUCGGACUGCAGGCUGCAACUCGCCUGCACGAAGUCGGAAUUGCUAGUAAUCGUGGAUCAGCAUGCCACGGUGAAUACGUUCCCGGGCCUGUACACACCGCCCGUC